RNAcentral lists this ribosomal RNA (468 nucleotides) under uncultured bacterium. RNAcentral's name for it is "partial 16S ribosomal RNA". It matches the Rfam family "Bacterial small subunit ribosomal RNA", at positions 28 to 507 of the family's 1533-position model. The record is from RNAcentral.
GACGAACGCUGGCGGCGUGCUUAACACAUGCAAGUCGAACGGAAAGGCCCUGCUUUUGUGGGGUGCUCGAGUGGCGAACGGGUGAGUAACACGUGAGUAACCUGCCCUUGACUUUGGGAUAACUUCAGGAAACUGGUGCUAAUACCGGAUAGGAGCUCCUGCUGCAGGGUGGGUGUUGGAAAGUUUCGGCGGUUGGGGAUGGACUCGCGGCUUAUCAGCCUGUUGGUGGGGUAGUGGCUUACAAAGGCUUUGACGGGUAGCCGGCCUGAGAGGGUGACCGGCCACAUUGGGACUGAGAUACGCCGCAGACUCCUACGGGAGGCAGAAGUGGGGAAUAUUGCACAAUGGGCGGAAGCCUGAUGCAGCAACGCAGCGUGCGGGAUGACGGCCUUCGGGUUGUAAACAGCUUUCGCCUGUGACGAAGAGUGAGUGACGGUAAUGGGUAAAGCAGCACCGGCUAACUACGUG